AUCUCUCAUCACGCGUCCACUGCUCACUAGAUAAACCACAAAAACGAAUUGUGUGGAUCCACACAUGCUAGAAACCAACUUAUCUUUCUGACUUACCUGCAGGGGGAGCGAAUCUGUUAAAAUGAACAGCCAUGACAUCAUCAUCAACAUCAGCGAAUUGUAAUCAAGCUCUCUAUCUCUCUCUAUAUACCAGGCCACUGUCCUCUCCUCCUAAGCUACGAUCCUCUGAGCUUCUGCAUAUACAUCUCAUGGUCCGAUCAUCAUCAUCAUCAUCAUCAUCUGGUGUUUGAUCACGUCCCGCAGUCCGAAGGCUCAGCCUCAGUGCAGUCAGCCCCAGCUGUGAAAUGUGUUGAGUUAUGAUGUCUAGACUGGCCGGCACCACCGCACACCAGGCCUGGUCCAAUACCAGAAGGUGCUUGGUGUUUGCUGUCAGUCAAGGGAUCUACAGCUGCCUGGGGUUCAGGAAGAGCAAAGGUAAACAAGUGUGUCAGGAAUAAUGAGGCCCCAUAUGCACCCUUUAUCAUUGACUCCAAGUGUCGCUGAACUCUUCUGUCAAUCUACAUGUAUUUACACAAGCUGGAUGGUGAUCAUUUACCGUGUUGACAUCCAGCUCCCGGCAUGGCAACAUUGAACUUCGAGUGGGAGGAUUACUGCCAAGCCCGCAGACAGGCUGCUUGUAUGUAUGGUUCUGGUCGACCCACAAUAAAGUGUGGCUUUACUGCAAGCUGCAAGUUUCACAAAAGAUCAAGUUAAUCAGCCUGCCCUAGCCCCGGCAGAAUGAUUUGCAAAGACACUCAUUAAACCACCUGCGACGAGCCAUCAGAUAGGGGAACCGUACAAUUACAGUGCCAAACCGGCCUCUUCAUCACCUUACAAUCGCAGUUUGGAAGAUGCAGAACAGUGGAAUUGUUCGGGGGUUCUGGACUAGUGCACAAGUUUCUCCUUCAACUGCGACAAAAAGAGAGAGAUACACCAGACACUUACAAGCAAUCACUGCUGUCUACCUGGUGCCUAUUUGAAGCUGCUGUGG
RNAcentral lists this long non-coding RNA (1030 nucleotides) under Patiria miniata (bat star). RNAcentral's name for it is "uncharacterized LOC119729811, transcript variant X1". Lineage: Eukaryota; Metazoa; Echinodermata; Asteroidea; Valvatida; Asterinidae. The record is from RNAcentral.